AAGUUAAAUAAUUUUUGUUAAAAUAUAUAAUGAUGUUAAAUUAAUUAAUAUUUCUUUUGGAAAGACAUGUCCAUUUAAAAUGUAACUGUUCAUUUCAAACAGUUAUUUUUAAAGUAGAGGUAUAUAUAGAAUCACGAUCCCAAGAACACAAAAGAACUCAAACUCGAACUCGUUUAUUAAUCUCACAAUGCUUAAGAAAACUCUCUCAAAAACUUAAGCUCACAACUCACACAUUAUGCUACACAUUAGCAUCUCCUUAUAUAUAACUCAUAAUUUCCUAAACUCAUUAGGUAAAACACAAAUAGAUAAUUU
This 312-nucleotide long non-coding RNA is filed under the name Brassica napus (rape). RNAcentral describes it as "long non-coding RNA (BNAP_LNC026457)". Lineage: Eukaryota; Viridiplantae; Streptophyta; Magnoliopsida; Brassicales; Brassicaceae. The record is from RNAcentral.